GAUGAACGCUAGCGACAGGCUUAACACAUGCAAGUCGAGGGGCAGCGGGGAGCAGCAAUGCUCUGCCGGCGACCGGCGGACGGGUGAGUAACGCGUAUGCAACCAACCUACCAGCGGGGGAUAAUCCACCGAAAGGUGGUCUAAGACCGCAUAAGACAGGGGCACCGCAUGGUGCUAUUUGUUAAAGGGAACACUGGUAGACGGGCAUGCGUUCCAUUAGGCAGUUGGAGGGGUAACGGCCCACCAAACCGACGAUGGAUAGGGGUUCUGAGAGGAAGGUCCCCCACAUUGGUACUGAGACACGGACCAAACUCCUACGGGAGGCAGCAGUGAGGAAUAUUGGUCAAUGGGCGGAAGCCUGAACCAGCCAAGUCGCGUGAAGGAAGAAGGAUCUAUGGUUUGUAAACUUCUUUUGAAGGGGGAUAAAGUGCGUCACGAGUGGUGCAUUGCAGGUACCCUUGGAAUAAGCAUCGGCUAACUCCGUG
RNAcentral lists this ribosomal RNA (485 nucleotides) under uncultured organism. RNAcentral describes it as "bacterial SSU rRNA". It matches the Rfam family "Bacterial small subunit ribosomal RNA", at positions 28 to 507 of the family's 1533-position model. The record is from RNAcentral.